RNAcentral lists this ribosomal RNA (402 nucleotides) under Gyrodinium helveticum. Its description in RNAcentral is "partial small subunit ribosomal RNA". It matches the Rfam family "Eukaryotic small subunit ribosomal RNA", at positions 30 to 432 of the family's 1831-position model. Lineage: Eukaryota; Dinophyceae; Gymnodiniales; Gymnodiniaceae. The record is from RNAcentral.
GCUUGUCUCAAAGAUUAAGCCAUGCAUGUCUCAGUAUAAGCUUGUGCAUAGUGAAACUGCGAACGGCUCAUUAUAACAGUUAUAAUUUGUUUGGUGUUCAAGUUUACAUGGGUAACUGUGGCAAUUCUAGAGCUAAUACAUGCGCCCAAACCCAACUUCUUGGAAGGGUUGUGUUUAUUAGAUACAGAACCAACCCAGGCUCCGCCUGGCCUUGAGGUGAUUCACAAUAACCGAACGAAUCGCAUAGCUGCCGCUGGCGAUAGACCAUUCAAGUUUCUGACCUAUCAGCUAUCGUCGGUAGGGUAUUGGCCUACCGUGGCAAUGACGGGUAACGGAGAAUUAGGGUUCGAUUCCGGAGAGGGAGCCUGAGAAACGGCUACCACAUCUAAGGAAGGCAGCAGG